UACAGAGGGUGCGAGCGUUGUCCGGAAUCACUGGGCGUAAAGGGCGCGUAGGUGGCUCUAUAAGUCGGGGGUGAAAUGCUGCGGCUCAACCGCAGCGCUGCCUCCGAGACUGUAGGGCUCGAGCACGGUAGAGGCCGAUGGAAUUCCCGGUGUAGCGGUGGAAUGCGUAGAGAUCGGGAAGAACACCUGAGGCGAAGGCGGGCUACUGGGCCGAUACUGACGCUGAUGUGCGAAAGCCAGGGGAGCGAACGGG
This 253-nucleotide ribosomal RNA is filed under the name uncultured prokaryote. RNAcentral's name for it is "partial 16S ribosomal RNA". It matches the Rfam family "Bacterial small subunit ribosomal RNA", at positions 524 to 776 of the family's 1533-position model. The record is from RNAcentral.